This is a long non-coding RNA of Tripterygium wilfordii, 515 nucleotides long. RefSeq lists it as uncharacterized. The transcript is spliced from 2 exons. Lineage: Eukaryota; Viridiplantae; Streptophyta; Magnoliopsida; Celastrales; Celastraceae. The record is from RefSeq and is a predicted model, not a curated record.
CUAAAAUUUUGGGUAAGUGAUAUCAUGAUACAGUGGAGGUGGGGGAAUUAGGCCUGUAGGUUUGCCAUCUUAUAAGAAAGACUGGUGGCAUUCUAGGGUACAUAUUAGUGGAGGUAGGAUGAGUUAGGCCAAGGCUCAAUACCAAAUUAUAAGGAACACACAUUACUAACGAGACAAUCUAAGGAACAUCAGUCUCAAUUGACCAAAGGUUAAGUACAGAGUGCAAGCUCUUGCAAUGGAGAACCAUGCUCCAUAUGACACUCAAGUUGCAACAAAUUUGAUCACAACUUGCUCUCGAGAAGUCUUAACUAGAAAAAGUAAACUUCUUACUCAAACUUCUCUCAAGAUAGAAGACAAAGAUAACACGAGGACAUCAACUUUCAGCUCCUGCACUGCCAAAGAGGCGAAAGAAAAUUCCCAGAAAAUUCUGUUGUCAAUUUAUCAAUCAUCAAUGGCAGGACAUAAUGCUUUUGGCACUAAAUUUUGCAAACCAUAAUAAAUGACACAAAUUUACA